GACACUGAGGCUCGAAAGCGUGGGUAGCAAACAGGAUUAGAUACCCUGGUAGUCCACGCCGUAAACGAUGUCUACUAGUCGUUGGGUCCCUUGAGGACUUAGUGACGCAGCUAACGCAAUAAGUAGACCGCCUGGGGAGUACGGCCGCAAGGUUAAAACUCAAAUGAAUUGACGGGGGCCCGCACAAGCGGUGGAGCAUGUGGUUUAAUUCGAUGCAACGCGAAGAACCUUACCUGGUCUUGACAUACACAGAAUCUUGUAGAGAUACGAGAGUGCCUUCGGGAAUUGUGAUACAGGUGCUGCAUGGCUGUCGUCAGCUCGUGUCGUGAGAUGUUGGGUUAAGUCCCGCAACGAGCGCAACCCUUGUCCCUAGUUACCAGCACUUCGGGUGGGAACUCUAAGGAUACUGCCAGUGACAAACUGGAGGAAGGCGGGGACGACGUCAAGUCAUCAUGGCCCUUACGACCAGGGCUACACACGUGCUACAAUGGUAGGUACAGAGGGCAGCUACACAGCGAUGUGAUGCGAAUCUCAAAAAGCCUAUCGUAGUCCAGAUUGGAGUCUGCAACUCGACUCCAUGAAGUAGGAAUCGCUAGUAAUCGCGGAUCAGAAUGCCGCGGUGAAUACGUUCCCGGGCCUUGUACACACCGCCCGUCACACCAUGGGAGUUGAUUGCACCAGAAGUGGUUAGCC
RNAcentral lists this ribosomal RNA (693 nucleotides) under uncultured bacterium. Its description in RNAcentral is "bacterial SSU rRNA". It matches the Rfam family "Bacterial small subunit ribosomal RNA", at positions 742 to 1435 of the family's 1533-position model. The record is from RNAcentral.